GAUGAACGCUAGCUACAGGCUUAACACAUGCAAGUCGAGGGGAAACGACAUCGAAAGCUUGCUUUUGAUGGGCGUCGACCGGCGCACGGGUGAGUAACGCGUAUCCAACCUGCCCACCACUUGGGGAUAACCUUGCGAAAGUAAGACUAAUACCCAAUGACGUCUCUAGAAGACAUCUGAAGGAGAUUAAAGAUUUAUCGGUGAUGGAUGGGGAUGCGUCUGAUUAGCUUGUUGGGGGGGUAACGGCCCACCAAGGCUACGAUCAGUAGGGGUUAUGAGAGGAAGGUCCCCCACAUUGUAACUUAGAAACGGUCCAAACUCCUACGGGAGGCAGCAGUGAGGAAUAUUGGUCAAUGGACGAGAGUCUGAACCAGCCAAGUAGCGUGCAGGAUGACGGCCCUAUGGGUUGUAAACUGCUUUUAUAAGGGAAUAAAGUGAGUCUCGUGAGACUUUUUGCAUGUACCUUAUGAAUAAGGACCGGCUAAUUCCGUGCCAGCCGCCGCGGUAA
This 508-nucleotide ribosomal RNA is filed under the name uncultured bacterium. Its description in RNAcentral is "partial 16S ribosomal RNA". It matches the Rfam family "Bacterial small subunit ribosomal RNA", at positions 28 to 523 of the family's 1533-position model. The record is from RNAcentral.